CCACUCAUAGCUUAGCCAGGCAAGUCCCUUUCCCCACGGGGGCCUGGUGCGCAAUGGUUGCAAACAGCGGCCUCCUUGGAAGUGUUGCCUUGUGAGUAGCCCUAAGGGACCGCGGAGGUGAUU
Molecule: small nucleolar RNA, 123 nt
Filed under: Microtus ochrogaster (prairie vole)
Lineage: Eukaryota; Metazoa; Chordata; Mammalia; Rodentia; Cricetidae
Description: Small nucleolar RNA SNORA70 (ENSMOCG00000002549.1)
Rfam family: Small nucleolar RNA SNORA70
About the family: snoRNA U70 seems to be exclusive to mammals and is a member of the H/ACA class of snoRNA which contain H (ANANNA) and ACA box motifs. H/ACA box snoRNAs are involved in the conversion of uridines to pseudouridines (5-ribosyluracil) a constituent of structural RNAs (transfer, ribosomal, small nuclear, and small nucleolar).
Source: Rfam by way of RNAcentral